CCCAGCGCUGCACGGGCUGCCGGGCCCCGGGCAGGACGUGGUGGGGGGCUGGGGCCAGCUAUCUGCACCCCGUCCCCCAGGACAUCCCCGGAUAUCUCCCCAGCUGCCGGGAACGCACCCCAGACCCAGAGCCACGGUCCGCGGGGGGCCCUGUGUCUUCCUGGCUCCUCCGGGUCCCGCGGGGGACUGGACGCGGCCCGAGUGCCCACCUCCCGGGCUGGAGCCUCACCUGCGGCCCCCGCUUGUCCUCUUCCAGGAACUCUGCCAGGAGACCCGGCGCGUGGACAAAUGGAUAAAAAUGCUCAAGCGAUGGGACCACUACCUCCCCAGCGAGAAGCUGGGGUGGGUCUACAAGGGGGUCCCGCCCCAGGUGCGGGGAGAGGUGUGCCUGCGAUUGCUGACCAGAUUAAGGCCAGGAAUGCCAGGAAAUACCAGGAAAUGAAGGAGGCGGCCCUGGUCUCCUCCCCGACAUCAUGCAGAUCGACCUGGACGUCAAACAGACGUUCCGCAGUCACACCAUGUUCUGGGACCGCUACAGGGUCGGGUGAGGCUGCUGGGCCAGCGGAGGCCCAGGAGAGGCCCAGGAGAGGCCCAGGGGCUUCUGUGCAGGGGACACGGGGUCUCUGAGGCCGGGGGGGAACAACAGCAGCAAACAACACACCGCCACAUGGUAGGGUGCUGGGGAUGACCCCCAUGCCCACACCCCCGGGGUCUCGGGGAUGGGGAGGCCCCAGGACGGGGCCUCCAGGGGUCACAGUCUGAGCUGAACCCCAAGGGGGUGAGGGACGGCUCCGUGAAGAGCAGGGGGCCAGGGUGGGGGCAUGGGGGGCAGUAAGGGGACCUGGGGGCCCGGGUGCAUGACCACGGCUGGACUGGGCCACAUGGACCCGACGAGGGUCGGACAGGUCAGGGUGACACCCACCCUCGGUGCUUUAUGUACUUCUGAAUUCAGGGCAUUUUAUUUUAGACAAUUUGCAGUUGGUGAGCACACAUAGUAUGACGACCCCCAUUUGCCGCCCCCGGUCCAGGCAGGCCCUGCGCUGAGCACACGGGGCCCCAGGGGCAGGGGUCACAGCAAACCCCAGACUGGGGUCACCUUUAUCUGUCAACGACUCCAUGUGCACCUUAGCGAAGGGGGUGCCCUGUGUCCGCAGCCCCCC
Molecule: long non-coding RNA, 1160 nt
Filed under: Canis lupus familiaris (dog)
Lineage: Eukaryota; Metazoa; Chordata; Mammalia; Carnivora; Canidae
Description: lncRNA (ENSCAFG00845012729.1)
Source: RNAcentral